GACCGCUCCAGUGGCCAAGUGUUUAGAGCGUCCGCCUUGGAUGCGAGAGGUCGUGGGUUCGACCCCCGGUUGAGUCA
This is a non-coding RNA of Potamilus streckersoni, 77 nucleotides long. The record is from the annotation of a GenBank genome assembly. Lineage: Eukaryota; Metazoa; Mollusca; Bivalvia; Unionida; Unionidae.